RNAcentral lists this ribosomal RNA (423 nucleotides) under uncultured bacterium. Its description in RNAcentral is "bacterial SSU rRNA". It matches the Rfam family "Bacterial small subunit ribosomal RNA", at positions 359 to 773 of the family's 1533-position model. The record is from RNAcentral.
GAAUAUUGGACAAUGGGGGGAACCCUGAUCCAGCCAUGCCGCGUGUGUGAAGAAGGCCUUUUGGUUGUAAAGCACUUUAAGCGAGGAGGAGGCUACUCUAGUUAUUACCUAGCGAUUGUGGACGUUACUCGCAGAACAAUCACCGGCUAACUCAGUCCCAGCAGCCGCGGUAAUACAGAGGGUGCAAGCGUUAAUCGGAUUUACUGGGCGUAAAGCGCGCGUAGGUGGCCAAUUAAGUCAAAUGUGAAAUCCCCGAGCUUAACUUGGGAAUUGCAUUCGAUACUGGUUGGCUAGAGUAUGGGAGAGUAUGGUAGAAUUCCAGGUGUAGCGGUGAAAUGCGUAGAGAUCUGGAGGAAUACCGAUGGCGAAGGCAGCCAUCUGGCCUAAUACUGACACUGAGGUGCGAAAGCAUGGGGAGCAAAC